GCUGCUGGAGGAGAAACACAGUACAGCCACAUGGGGGCGCUCCUUCCUCUGGGAAGCGUUUCAAUGGGCAACGUUGAGUUCAGAGAGGACCUACCAGUGCAGGUUGAAAGGUUCAGAAGUUUGGAAGCAAGAAGGCAAUCAGCUUUCCCAUCCAGACCAAAAGUUUCAUACCCACUUUUUCCAUGAACCAAAGGGCACAGGGUGAACAGCCUGGCAUUCAGCAGCCCUCCCCGGGAAGUCCUGGCCAGAAAGGGGCAGGCUGGGGAACCGCAUUACCUGGUUUCUGAUGGAGCCACGACAGGAAGUUUAUAUGCCAAGGUGAUCAGAGCAGUGGCUGUGAAAGAUGCCAAGAACAGCAUGGCCCCAAGGAGGAUGAGGAUCUGUGUACUCCUGCAAAGAAGAGAGGAUACGGAGAGGAGUGCCCUUCAGUUUCUUGCCCCACACAUGCGCUUCCUAUGGCACGAAAGGCUGGAAAUCCUGACCAUCAGAGGUACUUCCUGCUUUUGAGAGGCCCUGCUUUUGAGAGGCUGAUGAGUGGCAGGGAGAGCGGGGCUGGGGCUGGAGGACCUGAGGCAGCCUCGGUCUUGACCAUCCAUUAGUUGUGCCACACCGGGCAGGGCCUUGAGCUUGAGUUUCCUGGUCUAGACAGGAACAGUAAUCGCAUCCUCGCCUGCCCACCCUGAGGCUUACUAUGCAGCUCAAAAGGAGUCCAUGCCUGGGAACGUCCCUUGUCAUCUAUGAAACCCGAUAUGGAUACAAGUGGUGGUUGAUUUGGGAGAGAGGACUGUCAAAGGCAGGGUGGGACACGGGGUGGACCCACUCCAAGCACAGGGGAGAGAGGAUCGAGAAGGAGGAUGGUAUGGUUUGGAUCUUUGUCCCUGCCCAUAUCUCAUGUGGAAUUGUAAUCCCCAGUGUUGAAGUGGGGCCUGAUAGGAGGUGACUGGAUCGUGGGGAUGGAUUUCCCCCUUGCUGUUCUUGUGAUAGUGAGUGAAUUCUCAUGAGAUCUGGCUGUUUAAAAGUGUGUAGCACCUCCCCGCUUUGCUCUCUUCCUCCUGCUCCCACCAUAUUAAGAUGUGCCUGGUUCCCCAUCUGCCCUGAUUGUAAGUUUCCUGAGGCCUUCCCAGAAGCAGAAGCCUGCACAGCCUGCAGAACCAUGAGUCAAUUAAACCUCUUUUCUUUAUAAAUUACCCAGUCUCAGGUAGUUCUUUAUAGCAUGUGAAAACGGACUAAUGCAGAGGGGGAACCAGGCACGCCUUCAACUGAGGAGCAGAGCCUGAGACAAAUGUCCGGGUGCAGGUAGUUCACGUGGGUGUAGGAAUGAGGGAUAGGGUAGGAGAACAGGGAAGCAGGGAAAACCAAUACCAGGAUGUGCUAUCAAGGUGGCCAAUGCUCAGUUCUUCCAGAAUGUUCCACAGGGCCAUAUGAAAUGUACCUUAAAACUGUCCUGUGAGAUGAAAGACAGAAGGAUUUUCCCACUGUCUUCUAUCUCAAAUGGGUUAAGGAUGGUCCCACACAAAUUAAUUCCUCCACACUUUGGGACCGUGCAUGUAUAAGACUAGGAUGUUUCCUGAAGCACCCAGAGUGAGGCGCUGUCUGGUUGUACCUGCUCCGAAGUGUGAGGGUUGGGAUUAAGAGGAUCCACAGUGGUGUGGAAGAAAUGUCAAACACAAGUGCGAGACCAUCCAGGCACAGCCUGACCUGGAAAAUGCCUUUGACAAUGCAAUUCUGCUAGUGAAAGUUGCCAUGGCUGUUCAUGAGGAAGGGAUGAGAUAGAUACUAUUCAGUUAUCAAGUGAUACAGGGAGAAAAUUAUUUUCAGCCAGAGUACCAAUGUUAGUGUAAUAUUUGGAAAGAAGGAUGAAUUCUAGCUCCAUGAUGCUAUGAUUGAUUACUAAUGUCUGCUAUGAGGGUAAGCAGGGGGUUAUGGUAAUAAUGCUGUAUGUAUAUUUACUAUGACUUCUGCCAGACCCCUUAGCUCUUCUCUCCUUGAAUUACUGAGCUCCAGAAAGACCUGAUUCCACUGGCAUUCCAUGGAAUUAUAUUCUCUAAAGGAAGAAAAGCCCUACUUUUAUAUUUCCCUCCACUUAUAAGCUAAAUCUUGUUGCAUAGUCACAAGUUUGGACAGUGUGGGUUUUCAGCUGAAGGACUGAAAUCCACCUUCCACGACAGCCUUUGGGAAAGAUGCUGACACGGGGCCAGUGCUCCUCAGUCACAAGGACACUCACAUGGGUUCCCAGGCAAGUCUAGAGUGCGGAGGCAUAAGAACUCAGUGUCCUAGGUAAGUGGUAGUCAGGCCAUCCAAUAAAAACCCACAGCCACCCGAGUAAAUAUGUGUUUAACUCCCUGGGGGACUUGAGCCCAGUCCCUGGCACCUACUUCCAAGAUCAGUAUCUCCACCACAGACUCCACAAGUCUCUUCCAGCUAGCACCAUUUCAACUAAACUCAUAAAUCUUCCUGACAUUGAAUGUUAUGGGCUGAAUUAUGUCCCCAACAAAGUCCUAUGUUGAAAUCCUAACCCCCAGUAAUUCAGAGUGUGACUGUAUUUGAAGAUAGAGUCUUUAAAGCAAUAAUUAACAUUAAACGAGGUCAUUGGGGUGGGCCUUAAUCCAAUAUGACUGUGUCCUUAUAAGAAGAGGAAACUUGGACACAGAAGGAAGAACAUGUGAAGACUCAGAUGUUUUGUUUUAUUAUUAAUAUUCCAUUCUGGCAACAGUUAAAUUGGAUGACUAGAGGACUGAAUAUUGAUGUUCCCUCUACGGAAAGUGAUUUAUCAUUAUGAUUCAAGAGCGUAAAAGACAUUCAUGCCCUUUGACCUAUUAAUUCCCCUCAAAGAUAUAUGUUGUAGAGAAGUAUCAAAGUUGGAGACAAAUGGUUUCCAUGAAAAUAUUUAUCAAGCCAUUAUUUAUGAAUGCAUAACAUUGGAAAUAAUCCCAGUAUUAAACAAUAGAAGGUAUACAUAAAUUAUAUAGUUAGUUCAUGGAAUGGAAUGUUAUGCAGACAUUUAAAUUAUGUUGCUUUAAAAAUAAAAUAAUAUAGGGAAAUGCAUGUGUCAUAAAACUAUUGAAAGAAAGAUACCAAGGUGUAUAUACAGAAUGCUUUCAUGUAUCAAAAGCAGGGCACAGCCUGGGCAACACGGCAAGACCUCAUCUCUUUACAGAAGGUAAAAAAUUAGCAAGGUGCAGUGGUCCAUGCCUGUUACUCGAGAGGUUGAGGCAGGAGAAUCGUUUGAGCCCAGGAGUUGGAGGCUGCAGUGAGCUAUGAUGGCACCACCGCACUAUAGCAGCCUGGGUGACAGAGUGAGACCCUCAUCUCUUUAAAAAAAAAAAAAAAAAAAAAAAACUGGGCAGAAAAAAUAUCAGAAGGAUAAGCCCCAAAAUAUUAGCAGCAAAUUCUCCUUCCCUUGACUGACAAAGUGGAACUGGGGUGAUUAUUCCCCCCUCUCUUAACUCCUAAUGUUUUCCAAUGUUUCUUAAAUUGAACAUAUAUUUUAACACAAAGAACAAUAAAUUUUUAAAAUAUGGCAUGAAUAAUCCACAACUACAAGUCUCUCCAUGAAUUAUUGAGGCCUUAAGGUGUUUCUAAAACUAACAAAAAUUAAGGUGAUAAAUAUCCAAUGUGGGAAAGCUGGUGCACCGAUACAUGGCUGAGGGCGUUGUAAAUUACUUCACUCUUUCUGGAGAGCAAUCUCACAAUAUGUGACAAGUGCCACAGAAUUGUUCCUACCCUUUGACCUAGCAAUUCCAGUUGGAAAUCUGCCCCUGUGAAAAUAACUAAGAGAAAAAGUAGUGUGUUCAAAGGCAUGCAUUGCAGUGACAUUUAUAAUCAUGAAAAAUUGGCCACAAUCUAGAUACCCAACCAUAAAAAUGGUAGAUAAACCCUAAAACUGCCAAGUAUGCAGGUUAUGUCAAUAUGUGGCAAUGUUUAUAAGAACAGUUAAAUGGAAAAAGCUGAGCACUAGAUAUUACAUGCACACACUGAUUGUAACUCUGCAAAACACACACUGACUGGCGUAGGAUCAAUGUUGGAAAAGAAUGCAGAAGAAGGCAGACCGUAGAGGAUUUGGUGGAAAGAACAUGUUCAUUUAGAACCAGGGCUUGGCUCCAGAUGAUGUUUUGUGGAGAACCCCAGAGUUCCCAUGGAUGAUUGACAUGGUCAAAAUGAGUUCCACAGACAGUCCAUGCUUGUGCCAGAUGAGAUGGUUACCAGUAUUUUUUUCGUCAAUGUGAGGAAGCGCCUGGGGGCAAUUCUCUCCAAAGGGCCCUGGCACCUCUGCUUUCAAGGAUCUAAGGUGGGCUCUACCUCAAAAAGGCCACUGGCUGGUAUCCUUGCCACUGCUUCCUGCAAGUGGCCCAAAUCAGUUUGCAUCAGGGAAAACAGCCCAGAUUAUCCCCUGGGUACCCCAUCACAGACAAGCGGGCCCUACCUGCAGGCAGGUAGCUGGUGAUGCAAGCCUGUCCAUAUGGCUGGGCCUUUGCAAAUGGAAGGCAGCCAUCUAGUUAGUCAGUUGUUACGUGCAAAGAUUAGGGCCCUGCCACGCUUUAGCGAUUCCCUUUUCAGCCUUGAUUUCAAGGCAUAUGUGGAAUUGGUGAUAUAAUUUCAUUACAGCUAUUUCACUUUCACUUGCUUCAAAUGCAUUACGAGGAAACUGGGGCUUUGGAGAAGCCAAGACGCACAUAGAUCUUGUUGCUCCAAAGCAACAAGAUCUUUGAACUUGAGUAGAAUUCCACAUAGUAAGGGUGUGAUGCGAUGUCCCAUUGCAGUAGAGACUCAACAGGCGGAGGUGAAUAAUUUGUCCUUUCCCGGUUGGGCAACAUGGGCUGGCACAAGAACAGUGAUGGGGCAGGGUCAGCUGCCUCCGGGACAUGUGCCAGGAUGACUGGCCCCUUGUUGGCCAAUGCUAUGCUCCCCUCCCUCUGCUGUUCACAGCGGCUGCCCUCUGCAUAGCCUGGUACGGUUACACCAACUGCAUGGCAAGAAGCCAUCCCCCACUCACACAGCCCACCUUCCUACAGCAUCACCAGUACUCCAGAGAAAAUACCAGAAUCAGGUUGGCCCUUGGAAAGUUCACCACACUGCUUGAAGAAAUGAGACUCCAGGUUUGCACCCUUCUGCCUUUUCAAAGCCAGCAACUUGAGACUCACCGCAUUCUUGACCGACACAAAGUUAUUUAGCAACAGCAGAUUCGUCCACCAUGCUUGCCGGCAGUUAUCCCAGUGGAAUUUGGGCAUUUCCCAGACAGGUCCCCAGGGAACAAGAGAGAACAGUCCAACCAACAAGCACAUUGAAUACAGGUGAAGAGGCUGCAACCUGGCAGGAGAGAACCGAGAGAAAGAAGGUGACUUUCCACCGGGGUCCCUCCAGUCAUCUCAGUGGGCACGUGGCGGGUGGGGCAUAAGGUGCUCUAAAACAGAUUGUUUGUACCGUGGGCAGCUGCCACCCAGCCACACCUCAAACGUUCAAGCAUCCACGAGUUCCAGAUCACUUACUGAGCACCUAUCAUGUACUGGCUCAGGUGCUACUGCUGCAAAAAUACUGCUAUUUAUUUCUCUUUUUUUAAGAGACAGGGUCUCACUCACUACGGCCCUGACUUCCACCUCCUGGGCUCAAGCGAUCCUCUCACCUCAACCUCCCAAUUAGCUAGAACUGCAGGCGCAUGCCACCAUGUUCCACUAAAAAUACUGUUAUUUAUUGAGCAAGUCAUAUAGGCCAACCACUGUGGGAGGAGCCUGCUAGAGAUUUCUAAACCUCAAAACAAUCCUGCAAGGUAGCUAUGACCUCCAUUUUAUGAAGAAAUUAUAGCUAAGAGAAGAUAGGGUGACUUGCCCAAGGUCACCAACCACAUAGCAGUACCAAGAUCUGACACUGGUUCAUGUUCUUUCCACAUGGCCUCACACGAUGAAAAACUCUUUCUUCCUUCCCUCCCUCACUUGCUUCAUUUCUCCCUUCCUUCACGCCCUACCUCCUCCAAGCAAGAUCUGAAGCAGCUACAAAGGGGAAGAAUCAGGAGUAAGGUGUCUAGACCAGCGCUGUUCAACAGAAACAGGAUGCAAGCACAGCUGCCCCCAGUUUUACACUUUCCAGCAGCCACAAUUUAAAAGGUAAAAAGAAAUAGGUACAAAUCAUUUUAAUGUUAUUUAUUUAGACCAAUAUAUCCAAAAUAUUAUCAUUACAAAUACGUACCCAAUAUGAAACAUUGUUAAUAAGCUAUUUGACAUUCUUUUCCCUUUUACUGAGUCUUCAGAGCCCAGUGUGGGCUUUGCACACAUAGCACAUCUCACUUACCCACUUACCUGGUGGCUAUUUGCUGGACAGUGUGGGUUUAGAGUUUAGAAAUGAGAUUGCAGCCUGGAGGCGCAUAUAAUACUGGCAUGGAUUCUGCAUGGGCUGGGGUCAGAGCCCUCUUCUAAAAGAAUAUAGCUAAAAAUCCAGGGUAGUUUUGGCUCAACUAGGGCAGAACAAUGGCCCAGCAGUACCUCCAGACACCUAGGUGAGAGGGUGGGGGCUGGGGUGGUGGUCACAGAUGGGAACUGGCAGGACUUGGAGCGUCUCCACUUAGAGGUACAUCCCCAGCAGAGAGGGGCUCAGCACCAAGCCUCUGGUCUGCACCUGGGGACGGAGACCAUUGAUUCCCCUGUUCUCCCCACAAUGAGAACGUCCUACAUAGAGAGUGUCCGGUGGGUGGGAGGGCGGUAGGCAUUCUAGGAGAGGGAGUGGAAUUGUUGAUCAAUGUCAUACAGAAAAGGCAGGCAACUCUGUCAAGACACAGCUUCCCAGAUCAGCUCGCCUGCGGGUUUGCUCAGGCAACAGCCUCCCUGGGUCCUAGGCACUGGGUCCUGCCAUGUUUGCCAUCUGACCAUGCUGCCCCGCAGCUGCCCCUACAAGCCUCCGGCCCCGCCUUUUUGAUCAUCCUUCCCACCAUCUGUCACCUCCCCUCCCCGGGGAAAGUAGCCAGCGCUGCUCCCUUCAGAAGGAGAGCAGAAGGGAGCAUUCCCCUGCCCCCCACUCCAGGCAGCAUCCCUCACCUCUGCCAAAUCCCCCCUCCCCAGGGUGCUUGUUAAAAUGCAGACUUGGAGUCUGCAGGCUGUUGGGUGGGCCACGCCUUGAGUAGCAAGUUCAUCUAAACUUUUCACACUGAGAAAAUCAUGUAAUGUCUCCUCUUUCCUCUCCUCUAAAAGGGAAAUGAGGGUUUCUGCUUUCUAAGAUUUUUUUGAAAAUCUAACAAGAAAACAGUUUGAAAUAUUUAAACCACCCUCAAAUAUACAGGUGCUACAUUUUUGUCCAAGUUUCCAAGAGAAUAAAAGUCAAAGUGGGUUUUCAAAGAUUAAAAUGUGGGAUACUGGCCAGUGUGGUGGAGGGGUGAGAAGCAGGGAUUCUCAUACCUGGUGGGUGGGAAGGUAAAUUGGAAAAUGCACAUUAAAUGUUAAAUGCCCAAAACCCCCCAUUCCACUUGUAGGAAUUUAGCCCACAAACAUGUCUAUACAAGUGCACAAAAAUAUAUAGAGAUUAUCCCAUUGUCUAAGACAGCAAAGAAUUUGGACAUUAGCUCCAUGUCCACUAAUGGGGACAAGUUAAAUACAUAAUGGUACCCCACUGUGCCAUACUGAUAACCUUUAACAUCAGGGAUGUGGGUUCUUGUGUGCUUAUAGAGAAAUAGGCCAAUUCUGUAUUAUAAAUGAAAACACCACGUACAAACAGUGAAGUAUAUACUGCAAUCCUAUGCGUGCAGGAGAAGAACAGUGCUUAUAAAUACAUGGAAAGAUUCUGCAAGAAUUCCUAAGAAACUGUUAAAUACAGGUGUCCUGGGGGGAGUGAGACUAGAAGGGGGACCCUUUAUUUUAGUUAUAAGCUUCUGUUAUAGUUAGACAUUUUUAUCACAAGGUAUAAAAAAAAAAAAACCCUAAUUUUUAAAAUGUAGCUGCUAGUUGACAUAACCAGGCAGUUCUACAGUUCUAGAGCUUUACUCUCUUCCUUUCCUGUUAGAUAAUCUCUGUCCUGACUUACCCCUAGAAGUUGGGUUUGGGGAUUUUCUUAUAACUUGCAAUAGCUCCCAAAUGGUCUCCCCCUAUCUGGACCUUACAGCCAUUCUCUGCCCUGCAGCCAGAGUGAGUCUUGCAAGAUGUAAAUCUGCCCAUGCCACUCCCUUGCUGGGACCCUUCAGAGGUUUAUGUCUCAGAACAACAGGGAGAGUCCUUAGGGCAGCCUCCGCCCGUCUCUGACCUCAUUCCUCCCACUGUCCACGUGGCUCACUUCACUCCACACAACACCUUUGGGCUCUUUGAGGCUCUUCACACACUGCGACGCCCCUCCUUCCCCAGGACCUUUGUGAUUCGGUUCUCCCGGAAUGGACCAUUCUUCCCCCACAGGAUUUUCUUUGCUUAGAACAUUCCUUUAUUUUCUUCUGGGCUCUGGCCAAAAGUCACCUCCCCUGACUGCCCUUCCAGAGAAAGCCUCCAGCUUGCUUUCUUCUUUUAUUUAUUUAUUUAUUUGGGCAAAGUCUCGUUCUGUCGCCCAGGCUGGAAGGCAGUGGUGCGAUCACGGCUCACUGAAGCAUCCGCCUCCUGGGCUCAAGCAAUCCUCCCACCUCAGCCUCCCAAGGAGCUGGGACCACGGGCACGUGCCACCACACCAGGCUAAUUUUUUGUAUGUUUUGUAGAAAUGAGGUCUCACUAUGUUGGCCAGGCUGGUCUCAAACUCCUGGGCUCAGGGGAUCGUCCCACCUUUGCCUCCCAAAGUGCUGGGAUUGUAAGGCGUGAGCCACUGCACCCAGCCUCUUCUCCAAAUGAUCACUUUGUGGCACCCAUCCUCCCUGGCCUAGCAUACAUUUAUUUGCAUGCUGCAACUUCAAAUUGCAUAUUCAUUUAUUUAUUGUCUGCCUGUAUUCACUGGAAUGUAACCUGAGGGCUGGAAGGCACAUUUGCAUGGCUUAUUAAAACUCUGUUCUCAGGGCUUAGGACAGCGCCUAGCACAAAAUGGGCCUCAGAAUGAGUGAAUGAACAGAUGGUCUGACCCCUGUCCUCCUGGAGAUAAGCAGACAAGUGAUAAGUGCUAACCAGGUAGCAUCAGUGAGUUAUACCAGCACACAUGAGAACCUCAAAAUGGCCAGGAUCAUGACUGUUUUUUCACUGGGGUUACCUUAGUGAGGGUGAGUUCAACUUGUGGGUUUGUGACAGUUCCCUCCAUUUUCAAAAAAAUUUUUUCCCAGGUUGGACUGAUUGUCUCCCUAGGCUCCCACUCUGACCUGCCUCCCUUCCAGAGUUCCCCAGCUCAAGAAUGCCAGCACCACCUGCCAUGUUGCUCAAGCCAGAAAAUUCCUGAGUCCUUGAUUUCUCCUCUCUCCAUUCCCACUGCCAAUUGCCAGUGCAAACCCUGCUCUCCUGCCCAGACACUGCAGUAAUUUACUCACUGGGGUCCUUGUCUUACAAGGUCUCACUACCACCCAACUCUCACCCCGUGCUCCUCCUGCCCCUACCACUGCUCUAUCCACCUUGAAAAAACCCCUCUCUCCUCAAUCCCCAGCUCCAGACUUUUACUCUGAAGUAGGUUUCCCAAGGCUGGAUGCAGUGGCUCACACUUGUAUUCCUAGCAUUUUGGGAGGCCAAAGCGGACAGAUUAUCUGAGGUCAGGAGUUUGAGACCAGCCUGGCCAACACAAAAAACCCUGUCUCUACUAAAAAUACAAAAAUGAGCCAGGCAUGGUGGUGGGUACCUGUAAUCCCAGCUACUCAGAAGGCUGAGGCAGGAGAAUCACUUGAACUCAGGAGGAAGAGGUUGCAAUGAGCCAAGAUCGUGCCACUGCACUCCAGCCCGGGCGAUAGAGCAAGACUCCAUCUCAAAAAAUAAAUAAAUAGGCCAGGGAUGGUGGCUCAUGCCUGUAAUCCCAGCACUUCGGGAGGCCGAGGCAGGCGGAUCACCUGAGGUCAGGAGUCCAAGACCAGACUCAUCAAUAUGAUGAAACCCCGUCUCUACUAAAAAUACAAAAAUUAGGGGGUCAUGGUCGUGCAUGCCUGUAAUCCCAGCUACUCGGGAGGCUGAGACAGGAGAAUUGCUUGAACCCGGGAGGCGGAGGUUGCAGUGAGCCGAGAUCGUGACAUUGCAGUCCAGCCUGGGCAACAAAAGCGAAACUCCAUCUCAAAAAAUAAAUUAAAUAAAUAAAUAAAAUAAAAUAAAAUAAAAUAAAAAAGUUGGUUUCCCAAGCAGAACCCACCAUGCCAUUAGAUCCCCUGCCCCAACCCCCACCUAACCCCUCUGAGCAUUUAUCACCAUGACCCCUCAUCCUGUAUGCCAGCCUCUCACCUCCAGAAAACCUCAGGGCAGGACAGGCUGCUUACCCCAGUGCCACACACCCAAAAUAUAUUGAAAUCAUAAGCCUUCUGCCCUUCCCUGGAGGAGGGUUAGAUUUUAUAAAGCUUGGAAGAAACCACAAAGACUGUGGUGAAAAGAAACCAACAAAGGUCUAUUCCUUAGCUUCUCCCCAUUCUUCACCUAUUUGAUGGAAAGCUUAAAAGGUAUAAAUAACCACCACGCUAAUAAUGAUAGCUCCUACGUAUUGAGGGCUUACUAUGUAUAAAGCACCCUUCCAAGUUCUUUACAUACAUUAUCUCAUUGAAUCCUCACAAGAGUCCUGUGAUGUGUCACUAUUCUUCCCAUUUUAGAGAUGAGCAAAUGCAAGCACAGAAAGACUGAGAGAGACACUUAACUCAAGGUCACACCGCUGCUAUGUGAUUGAGCCAGAAUACACGCUCAGCAGUCCAACUACAGAGUCUGCACUUGCCCACUGCAUUUCACUAGUCCCAAAGAUUAUGACAACACUCCUCUUCCUAUUUUGUGACAGUGUGGUAUAACAAGAUGAACGUGAACCAGGAGUCAGGAGUGCUGGCUUCCAGCUCAGCAAAUAACCACGACAUAGAAAAUAUAUCAAUGGCAGGGUUGGAUGACAUGAGCUGAAGUUUCCUUUUCUCCCUUAACUUUGUUGUUUUUUUUGUUUGUUUGUUUUGAGACAGGGUCUCACUCUGUUGCCCACGCUGGAGUGCAGUGGCAGGAUCUUGGCUCACUGCAACCUCCACCUCCGGAGUUCAAGUGAUUCUCCCACCUCAACUUCCCGAGUAGCUGGGAUUACAGUCGUGUGCCACCACGCUCAGCUAAUCAUUUGUAUUUUUGGUAGAGAAAGGGUUUCACCAUGUUAGCCAGGCUGGUCUCAAACUCCUCACCUCAAGUGAUAUGCCCCCCUCAGCCUCCCAAGGGCCUCCCCAAAACGCCUGAGAUUACAGGCAUGAGCCACUGUGCCCAGCCCUUCCUCCCUUAACUUUGGUUGUCUCAUUCUGUCACUGCCACUCUGCUACCACCGAUUCCGUAUUCUGCCCCAGUGUUGGAAUCCCUUCUGCAUCAACCAACCACACAUUCCUAAAGGAGACCGUCAGCUAGGCACGGUGGCUCACGCCUGCAAUCCCAGGACUUUGGGAGGCCGAGACAGGCAGAUCACGAGGUCAGGAGUUCAAGACCAGCCUGGCCAACAUAGUGAAACCCCGUCUCUACUAAAAAUACAAAAAAAAAUCAAAUCAAAUAUUAGCCAGUCAUGGUGGCGGGCGCCUGUAAUCCCACCUACUCAGGAGGCUGAGGCAGGAGAAUUGCUUGAACCCAGCAGGCAGAGGUUGAAGUGAGCAGAGAUGGCGUCACUGCACUCCAGCCUGGGUCACAGUGCGAGACUCUGUCUCAAAAACAAAAAAAAAAAAAAAAAAAAAAGGAGAUCGUCAUUCUUCCUGCCUCCCUCCCAGCAGAAUGGCCAUGGCCCAGAGCUUCAACCAAGUUCCUUUCCUGGUCACGUACUGUUUUAUUUUUAUCAUUACCAUUAGCACUCUGAUUUAUAGGAUCCAAUUACUACUAAUUUGCAGACAAACAAAUUUUCCUGUUGAAUACAGAUUCCAUGGAAAUCUGACAGUGCAUUUAUUGAACUCUGCUGCCCAUCAGCUGAGGACUAAGGAUGUUUUUGCCAGUGGAACAUACCAGUUUUCAUGGUAUUUGUCCCAGUAGAAUUUGAUCCAUAUUAAACCAGCUUAAAUCAACUGUAUUUAGGGAAGAAAACUAUUUCUUUCAGUUUAUUUUUCUUUGGAAAUUCUUUGAAAAGAGGGUUAAAGACAGAAAACUAAUAAAUCGUUACAUAGCAAUGAGGAAUUGAGAAAUUAAGUAAAUAAACCUACUGUCAGGCCUCUGAGCCCAAGCUAAGCCAUCAUAUCCCCUGUGACCUGCACAUAUACAUCCAGAUGGCCUGAAGCAACUGAAGAUCCACAAAAGAAGUGAAAAUAGCCUUAACUGAUGACGUUCCACCAUUGUGAUUUGUUUCUGCCCCACCCUAACUGAUCAAUGUACUUUGUAAUCUCCCCCACCCUUAAGAAGUUUCUUUGUAAUUCUCCCCACCCUUGAGAAUGUACUUUGUGAGAUCCACCCACUGCCCCCCGCAAAACAUUGCUCCUAACUCCACCGCCUAUACCAAAACCUAUAAGAACUAAUGAAAAGCCCACCACCCUUUGCUGACUCUCUUUUCGGACUCAGCCCACCUGCACCCAGGUGAAAUAAACAGCCUUGUUGCUUGCACAAAGCCUGUCUGGUGGUCUCUUCACACGGACACACGUGACACCUACCUUACCAGGUGACUGAGAAAGUAUCUGAGUAUGCCUUUGGGGGUUAUUCCUUUGUCUGAAUUCUGAUGCAUCUUUAAAAACGAACUUGCACUUAACCAACCACUAAAAGAAAAAGAAGAAUUGUCG
RNAcentral lists this long non-coding RNA (12760 nucleotides) under Homo sapiens (human). Its description in RNAcentral is "HSALNT0251957". The record is from RNAcentral. Lineage: Eukaryota; Metazoa; Chordata; Mammalia; Primates; Hominidae.